Molecule: ribosomal RNA, 429 nt
Filed under: Gemmatimonadota bacterium
Lineage: Bacteria; Pseudomonadati; Gemmatimonadota
Description: Gemmatimonadetes bacterium partial 16S ribosomal RNA
Rfam family: Bacterial small subunit ribosomal RNA
Source: RNAcentral
UAGGGAAUCUUCGGCAAUGGACGAAAGUCUGACCGAGCAACGCCGCGUGAGUGAAGAAGGUUUUCGGAUCGUAAAACUCUGUUGUUAGAGAAGAACAAGGACGUUAGUAACUGAACGUCCCCUGACGGUAUCUAACCAGAAAGCCACGGCUAACUACGUGCCAGCAGCCGCGGUAAUACGUAGGUGGCAAGCGUUGUCCGGAUUUAUUGGGCGUAAAGCGAGCGCAGGCGGUUUCUUAAGUCUGAUGUGAAAGCCCCCGGCUCAACCGGGGAGGGUCAUUGGAAACUGGGAGACUUGAGUGCAGAAGAGGAGGGUGGAAUUCCAUGUGUAGCGGUGAAAGGCGUAGAUAUAUGGAGGAACACCAGUGGCGAAGGCGGCUCUCUGGUCUGUAACUGACGCUGAGGCUAGAAAGCGUGGGGAGCAAACAGG